RNAcentral lists this long non-coding RNA (2683 nucleotides) under Sus scrofa (pig). Its description in RNAcentral is "lncRNA (ENSSSCG00045037567.1)". The record is from RNAcentral. Lineage: Eukaryota; Metazoa; Chordata; Mammalia; Artiodactyla; Suidae.
ACAUGAUGAAGCAUUUUUCUCCCCCAUUUAAAGAUCCAGUCAUGUUCCAGUUUGCAGGGGCAGAAGGGCUGGUUUGCAGUUGGUGCUGGGAGGAUAGAGCAUGCAGAAGUCCCUGGGCCAGGAAUGGAACCUGUGCCACAGAAGCAACCCAAGCCAAUGCUGGUGACGAUGCUGGUUCCUUAACCCACUGAGUCACUGGGGAAACUCCUCAUUGGUCUUUCUUAAGGGACCAGUUCUAGCAAUUAGAUGAGGCUGGCCAUUACCAGUGGUCUAGGACUGUUGUAUUCUUAUUAUCUAGUGCAAGAAGCUAAGCAAUAAUAGGACUCAAGUCUAUCUGCUAAGAAGGGGAAGAGGUAACUCUGCUUUUACUCCUUUUUCAUUCCAGCAAGUCUAUGAAGUAGAUGCUGUUAGUAUCCCCACUUCAUGGUUUGGGAAAUGGAGGAUCAGAGAGGUUGGGUGACUUGCCCCAGGUCACAGCUAGUGGUGGAGCUGGGAUUCAAACCCAGGUCUGCGAGGCUCCACAGCAGGUAUUCUCAACUACAAGAGUGUGCUACCACCUCUCACAUUCAUAGGAAGGCCAGCUGAGUUCCCACAGGACCACUGCUUUACAACUGGACCUAUCACUUUCCUGGUCCUAUCACCCCUGGCUGGAGCUUUGCUCUGGGGGUUCCUUCUGGCAUCUUGGUGGAAGCAAGGGGGGUUGAUAACUGGCAUUGUCUUGAAGGAGGAGGCUUUCCAGGCAGGCAGAAAGUUGAAAUGACUGCUGACUCAGCUAUCUGGAUGUCCUUACCUGAGGAGACAGGUAAAUAGACAGCAGUCAUGGAACCAUGAUUAAUGUUCAUAGAGUAGAUCUUACAUCCUCAAGAAAACAAUUUUGGCAACUUUUGUGUGGUGAGUACAUGCCUCCUGUGUGCUGGCUUCCUGCAUACAUGGUGUCUGCCACAACUGCCCUAGGUCUGCAGGGUCGUCCUCCAGUACAGAGUAGGAUACCUAGCAGAGAAAGAAAGUGACCUGCCAAGGUCAGAGAACAAGGUGGUGGAGGGGCUGUGGCACACACUUAGGCCUCCUGCACUUCCCAAUAUUUCACAAUGGCCCUCAGAAAAAAAUACUUCAGUGAUGCUUCAUCUCUUUAUUCAGGAGGAGAAAGCUGUGCUUAGUACAUUUUAGAAAGCUUCUAUGCCAAUGAGUUUAAAUUGGGGUGUUGGGGCUUAGGGGGAGAACUAUCAGUUGAGUGAAAGUUCAUUUCCAGUGGUCAGUGUUGGCAGAUGAAUGAGGCAUUAUUUGGCCUUAAAGAGGCCCCUGUAAGUGGGCACAGCUGGGGCCUGGUGGAUGUGAAGCUUGCUUUGCUGAGGGGCAGCUGCAUCCUGGCUGGUUCCUCUGAAGUCAGGCUGCAUGAGAACACAUAGGCCCUGGCAGCAUCCUGGCACCACCCAAAGCAGCAAACACCAGCAGCAAGGACACAUGCCAGGAAAGUUUCUGCAACCUCUUCCUCGGCCCUGAGCUAGGCGCCUGCCAUGGACAGAAGACUGCAGGAGCCCACAGCAGACCUAGACAGACUGUUUCUUCCACAGAAUUAUCUCACUAAAUAACUCUCGCUAAAGCCUAACAAGACUUGUCAUCAAGCCCAUUUUCCGGAGGGAGAAACCGAGACUCCAAGAACUACAGAACCUAUUUCUGUGUCUCAAUACGUAGGCCGGCUCUCCGACUUGACGGAAUCGCUCUGGCAACAGCGCCCUCUAAAGGCGGAGGCGAGUAUGCCUGCGUAACAGUCGUGCCCCGUCCUUUGGCGCUGGAAAUGGCGGAGGGCUCCCUCUGGCUUCUGAGGAUUGUCCAGCGCCCCUCCGAGGUCCUGGAGAAGCCAGGAGCGCUGCCUACAACUCGGCCUUGACUUCCCCGCAGCCUUGGUCGCCGCAGCAUUGGGUCAGAGGCAUCCCUGGAGAUUGCAGAAAGUUAGCGGCGGCCCCUGUUGACGCAGCGAGUGACGGCCCGACAUACCCUGAUAGGCCACGGGGAGGGCCAGACGCAGAGCCUUGAAAGAAGGAGCUUGCGCUCUGGAAGGGGCGUGGCCAGCGCUCUUCCUCGAGGGCGGGGCUCUAGGGGAAGGGGCUCUUCUCUGGGAUAUUGUGCCACAAGCGAGGACACCCGUGCACCUAGCCCAGGGCCUGUGUCCUGGCGUCAGCGCAUCUGUGGGCAGCAACUUUACCCUCCCCAGACCUCAGUUUCUGCACCUGUAAGACGGAGGCUCUUCCACAACUGCAAAAAUCGGAGUUUCAUCCAGCAUUCUCAGAAUUCCUGUCUCCAGGCAGGCACUGAGGAAUCAGAGCUGCGUUCCUGUGGAGGCUCAGAGCUCUGAGAUCUCCUUCACUUGCUGCAUCAGUACUCCUGACACUGGAGAGUUCUGGAGGUUGGAGACCAGCCCCUUCCUGGUGGAACAGGCACCCUGUAGCCUGGGAUGUGACAGUCAUAUGACAGGGCCUGUAACAAGUAACAGUGGUAGCCCAAAUAUGUCGAGCACUUACUAUAUGCCUGGCUUUUCAUGAAGUCUGUCGCAUACGUUAUUUACACCCCCACCCGCACAGCCGUGUCUGGUGGUCCUGUUCUUGACAUCCUGUUUACUGAUGAGCCCAGAGUCACACAAUAGUAGCCAGUCCAAGGUCACCCAGCUAAUAAAUGGCUGAAGCAG